RNAcentral lists this ribosomal RNA (466 nucleotides) under uncultured bacterium. RNAcentral's name for it is "partial 16S ribosomal RNA". It matches the Rfam family "Bacterial small subunit ribosomal RNA", at positions 28 to 507 of the family's 1533-position model. The record is from RNAcentral.
GAUGAACGCUGGCGGCGUGCUUAACACAUGCAAGUCGAACGAUGAAGCCCAGCUUGCUGGGUGGAUUAGUGGCGAACGGGUGAGUAACACGUGAGUAACCUGCCCUUAACUCUGGGAUAAGCCUGGGAAACUGGGUCUAAUACCGGAUAGGAGCGUCCACCGCAUGGUGGGUGUUGGAAAGAUUUAUCGGUUUUGGAUGGACUCGCGGCCUAUCAGCUUGUUGGUGAGGUAAUGGCUCACCAAGGCGACGACGGGUAGCCGGCCUGAGAGGGUGACCGGCCACACUGGGACUGAGACACGGCCCAGACUCCUACGGGAGACAGCAGUGGGGAAUAUUGCACAAUGGGCGCAAGCCUGAUGCAGCGACGCCGCGUGAGGGAUGACGGCCUUCGGGUUGUAAACCUCUUUCAGUAGGGAAGAAGCGAAAGUGACGGUACCUGCAGAAGAAGCACCGGCUAACUACGUG